Molecule: ribosomal RNA, 460 nt
Filed under: uncultured bacterium
Lineage: Bacteria
Description: partial 16S ribosomal RNA
Rfam family: Bacterial small subunit ribosomal RNA
Source: RNAcentral
CCUACGGGAGGCAGCAGUGAGGAAUAUUGGUCAAUGGACGAGAGUCUGAACCAGCCAAGUAGCGUGAAGGAUGACUGCCCUAUGGGUUGUAAACUUCUUUUAUAUGGGAAUAAAAUGUUCCACGUGUGGGAUUUUGUAUGUACCAUAUGAAUAAGGAUCGGCUAACUCCGUGCCAGCAGCCGCGGUAAUACGGAGGAUCCGAGCGUUAUCCGGAUUUAUUGGGUUUAAAGGGAGCGUAGGUGGAUUGUUAAGUCAGUUGUGAAAGUUUGCGGCUCAACCGUAAAAUUGCAGUUGAAACUGGCAGUCUUGAGUACAGUAGAGGUGGGCGGAAUUCGUGGUGUAGCGGUGAAAUGCUUAGAUAUCACGAAGAACUCCGAUUGCGAAGGCAGUUCACUGGACUGCAACUGACACUGAGGCUCGAAAGUGUGGGUAUCAAACAGGAGUAGAUACCCGUGUAGUC